This 301-nucleotide ribosomal RNA is filed under the name uncultured bacterium. RNAcentral describes it as "partial 16S ribosomal RNA". It matches the Rfam family "Bacterial small subunit ribosomal RNA", at positions 509 to 807 of the family's 1533-position model. The record is from RNAcentral.
CAGCCGCCGCGGUAAUACGAAGGGGGCUAGCGUUGCUCGGAAUCACUGGGCGUAAAGGGUGCGUAGGCGGGUCUUUAAGUCAGGGGUGAAAUCCUGGAGCUCAACUCCAGAACUGCCUUUGAUACUGAAGAUCUUGAGUUCGGGAGAGGUGAGUGGAACUGCGAGUGUAGAGGUGAAAUUCGUAGAUAUUCGCAAGAACACCAGUGGCGAAGGCGGCUCACUGGCCCGAUACUGACGCUGAGGCACGAAAGCGUGGGGAGCAAACAGGAUUAGAUACCCCCGUAGUCCCUGUCUCUUAUAC